GAUGAACGCUGGCGGCGUGCCUAAUACAUGCAAGUCGAGCGAACAGACGAGGAGCUUGCUCCUCUGACGUUAGCGGCGGACGGGUGAGUAACACGUGGAUAACCUACCUAUAAGACUGGGAUAACUUCGGGAAACCGGAGCUAAUACCGGAUAAUAUAUUGAACCGCAUGGUUCAAUAGUGAAAGACGGUUUUGCUGUCACUUAUAGAUGGAUCCGCGCCGCAUUAGCUAGUUGGUAAGGUAACGGCUUACCAAGGCGACGAUGCGUAGCCGACCUGAGAGGGUGAUCGGCCACACUGGAACUGAGACACGGUCCAGACUCCUACGGGAGGCAGCAGUAGGGAAUCUUCCGCAAUGGGCGAAAGCCUGACGGAGCAACGCCGCGUGAGUGAUGAAGGUCUUCUGAUCGUAAAACUCUGUUUUUAGGGAAGAACAAAUGUGUAAGUAACUAUGCACGUCUUGACGGUACCUAAUCAGAAAGCCACGGCUAACUACGUG
Molecule: ribosomal RNA, 497 nt
Filed under: uncultured bacterium
Lineage: Bacteria
Description: partial 16S ribosomal RNA
Rfam family: Bacterial small subunit ribosomal RNA
Source: RNAcentral